AUCUUCCUACGGGGCGCAGCAGUGGGGAAUAUUGCACAAUGGGCGAAAGCCUGAUGCAGCAACGCCGCGUGAAGGAAGAAGGCCUUCGGGUCGUAAACUUCUGUCCUUGGGGAAGAAGAACUGACGGUACCCAAGGAGGAAGCCCCGGCUAACUACGUGCCAGCAGCCGCGGUAAUACGUAGGUGGCAAGCGUUGUCCGGAUUUACUGGGUGUAAAGGGCGUGUAGCCGGGCUGACAAGUCAGAUGUGAAAUCCGGGGGCUCAACCCCCGAACUGCAUUUGAAACUGUUGGUCUUGAGUAUCGGG
Molecule: ribosomal RNA, 305 nt
Filed under: uncultured bacterium
Lineage: Bacteria
Description: bacterial SSU rRNA
Rfam family: Bacterial small subunit ribosomal RNA
Source: RNAcentral